Molecule: long non-coding RNA, 591 nt
Organism: Lagopus leucura (white-tailed ptarmigan)
Lineage: Eukaryota; Metazoa; Chordata; Aves; Galliformes; Phasianidae
Exons: 3
Source: RefSeq, a predicted model, not a curated record
ACUACAGUCCUGUCAUUUUGCCGUAUCUGCUGUCAAUAACUCCAUUACCAGAUAGUCCAUCUGAAGAAAAAGAAAGGAUUCUGACAUUCAUCAUAUUAUUAUUACUAUUUUAUGACAAGUGGCAAUACACAGAGAUGAAGGUGCAGUUUCCAGAUCGGAGUCUCCGGUAUGUUCUCCAGCAGGAACCAAAUGGUUUAUUGCUUUCAUUGCUGCCUUCCCUUUGUUCUCCAUCUUCAUCCCUCUCCCAGUGAUGGAUUUUAAGUGCUGAAUGUGGAGAAAAUCAUCAUAAUGAAAGAACUGACAAAAUCUGGUCAAGAGCAGUGAUCCUUCUUGGAAUAUCCGUGUUUUCUGUUUAGCCUGGUGCUGAGAUCAAAGGAUCCAAAUGGUUGUGCGAGUGUGCUGCAGCUUCUGGAUAAAUUACUGAAAAUGUUAUUGUAAAAGCUAAACUGAUGUGACCCUUGUUUUCAUCAAUCUUAUAUUUAAUCUUUAUAUAGUGGCUUGUGUAGAAGGUUCUUGUACCGCUAUCCUUGAUACAAAGAUAGCACCAAUUAAAAUUCUGCACUUAUAUACAGUUCUGCACAUAUAAUAAAG